UACGGAUAAGCAAAGAAAGUGG
This 22-nucleotide microRNA is filed under the name Macaca mulatta (Rhesus monkey). Its description in RNAcentral is "mml-miR-1255b". The record is from miRBase by way of RNAcentral. Lineage: Eukaryota; Metazoa; Chordata; Mammalia; Primates; Cercopithecidae.